GGCUAGCGGCGUAGCCUAAUACAUGCAAGUCGAGCGAACAGAGAAGGAGCUUGCUCCUUUGACGUUAGCGGCGGACGGGUGAGUAACACGUGGGCAACCUACCUUAUAGUUUGGGAUAACUCCGGGAAACCGGGGCUAAUACCGAAUAACCUAUUUUACUUCAUGGUGAAAUACUGAAAGACGGUUUCGGCUGUCGCUAUAAGAUGGGCCCGCGGCGCAUUAGCUAGUUGGUGAGGUAACGGCUCACCAAGGCGACGAUGCGUAGCCGACCUGAGAGGGUGAUCGGCCACACUGGGACUGAGACACGGCCCAGACUCCUACGGGAGGCAGCAGUAGGGAAUCUUCCACAAUGGGCGAAAGCCUGAUGGAGCAACGCCGCGUGAGUGAAGAAGGUUUUCGGAUCGUAAAACUCUGUUGUAAGGGAAGAACAAGUACAGUAGUAACUGGCUGUACCUUGACGGUACCUUAUUAGAAAGCCACGGCUAACUACGUGCCAGCAGCCGCGGUAAUACGUAGGGUGGCAAGCGUUGUCCGGAAAUUAUUUGGGCGUA
RNAcentral lists this ribosomal RNA (551 nucleotides) under uncultured bacterium. RNAcentral's name for it is "bacterial SSU rRNA". It matches the Rfam family "Bacterial small subunit ribosomal RNA", at positions 34 to 562 of the family's 1533-position model. The record is from RNAcentral.